GGCUGGUCCAAAGGUAGUGAAUUAUCUCACUUGAUUGUUCACAGUCAGUUACAGAUUGAACUCUUUGUUCUACUAUUUUCCCCUCUUCUCACCACCACACUUGAAUGGUCUUUU
This 114-nucleotide Y RNA is filed under the name Microcebus murinus (gray mouse lemur). RNAcentral describes it as "Y RNA (ENSMICG00000044041.1)". It matches the Rfam family "Y RNA". Rfam says of the family: Y RNAs are components of the Ro ribonucleoprotein particle (Ro RNP), in association with Ro60 and La proteins. The Y RNAs and Ro60 and La proteins are well conserved, but the function of the Ro RNP is not known. In humans the RNA component can be one of four small RNAs -- hY1, hY3, hY4 and hY5. The record is from Rfam by way of RNAcentral. Lineage: Eukaryota; Metazoa; Chordata; Mammalia; Primates; Cheirogaleidae.